UCCUCUAAUGCUUGGGGGGAGCAAACUGGUCUAGCAGGGGGUGGUUUCUUCUCUGAGUUGCUCUGUGUUGGAGAUAAUUCCCCUCCAGAGACUAACAGCAAACUGUGACUUGCUCACUCAGUUCCCUGAGGUGAAAGGCACCCCGCAAAGGGAGGUAGCUUUGCUCUGCCCCAUCGAGGGUGUGGGAGCACAUGGCUGUUUGGGCUGGAGCUUGUUACAAAGGAGCUGGCCCAUCAAGCAAGCUGGGCUGCCUCUCCUGGACUGCAGAGUGUAAGAGAAAGAAGCUACCCUAAGGUGUGUCAAUCACGCAUUCUAAGAUUAUAAACCCUUCAUUCAUCAUCCUUCCUUUUGAAAAUAUCAUUGCAAUAUGAACAGAUGGCAACAAGGUGAAACAGAAUGAAAGAUGCUACCAGUUUUAAACUAGCAGAUGAAGAGUCUGAGGCUGCUAAAGAGACUGCGUGUGUUGCAAAAAGUAUUGCUGUGUGAUAUAAGCAGUAGACACAGCAAUGUGGGCAAACAGAAAAAAAGUCUAGGCACAUAGAGACCAGAACCAAACUGAAAACAGAUAGUGUGUCCUGCUGUAGGGAACAGGAGAGGAGAAGUCCUUCCAGUCCAUACAUGCAAAGCACUAAGCAUCAGGGGUGGCAUAAACAUAACCACAAAAUGACAACAA
This is a long non-coding RNA of Mauremys reevesii (Reeves's turtle), 673 nucleotides long. RefSeq lists it as uncharacterized. The transcript is spliced from 2 exons. The record is from RefSeq and is a predicted model, not a curated record. Lineage: Eukaryota; Metazoa; Chordata; Testudines; Geoemydidae.